UGGGGAAUUUUGGACAAUGGGGGCAACCCUGAUCCAGCGACGCCGCGUGAAGGACGACGGUCUUCGGAUUGUAAACUUCUUUUGAAGGGGAUGAAUGACCUGGUGAAGAGCCAGGGGUGACAGUACUCUUCGAAUAAGCCACGGCUAACUACGUGCCAGCAGCCGCGGUAAUACGUAGGUGGCAAGCGUUGUCCGGAUUUAUUGGGUUUAAAGGGUGCGUAGGCGGCCCUGUAAGUCAGCGGUGAAAUACGGCAGCUCAACUGUCGAGGUGCCGUUGAUACUGCGGGGCUUGAGUGCUGAUGAGGCAGGCGGAAUUGACGGUGUAGCGGUGAAAUGCUUAGAUAUCGUCAAGAACACCGAUAGCGAAGGCAGCCUGCCAAGGAGCAACUGACGCUGAGGCACGAAAGUGCGGGGAUCAAAC
RNAcentral lists this ribosomal RNA (421 nucleotides) under uncultured bacterium. Its description in RNAcentral is "bacterial SSU rRNA". It matches the Rfam family "Bacterial small subunit ribosomal RNA", at positions 355 to 773 of the family's 1533-position model. The record is from RNAcentral.